AUUGAACGCUGGCGGCAUGCUUUACACAUGCAAGUCGAACGGCAGCGCGGGCUUCGGCCUGGCGGCGAGUGGCGAACGGGUGAGUAAUGCAUCGGAACGUGCCCAGUAGUGGGGGAUAGCCCGGCGAAAGCCGGAUUAAUACCGCAUACGACCUGAUGGUGCAAGCGGGGGAGCGAAAGGCCUCGCGCUAUUGGAGGGGCGGAGGUCGGAUUAGCUAGUUGGUGGGGUGAAGGGUUACCAAGGCGACGAUCCGUAGGUGGUCUGAGAGGAGGACCAGCCACACUGGGACUGAGACACGGCCCAGACUCCUACGGGAGGCAGCAGUGGGGAAUUUUGGACAAUGGGGGCAACCCCGAUCCAGCCAUGCCGCGUGCGGGAAGAAGGCCUUCGGGUUGUAAACCGCUUUUGUUCGGGAAGAAAUCCUCUGGGCUAAUACCCCGGGGGGAUGACGGUACCGGAAGAAUAAGCACCGGCUAACUACGUG
RNAcentral lists this ribosomal RNA (484 nucleotides) under uncultured bacterium. Its description in RNAcentral is "partial 16S ribosomal RNA". It matches the Rfam family "Bacterial small subunit ribosomal RNA", at positions 28 to 507 of the family's 1533-position model. The record is from RNAcentral.